AAACUUUACAAUGCUGGCAACAGCGAUAAGGGGACCUCGAGUGCCAGGAUACAAUCCUGGCUGUCGUUGUGUCUAAAAAACACAAUAUAGCAAGGGCCGGGCAAGACCGGUGCCAGCCGCCGCGGUAACACCGGCGGCUCGAGUGGUAACCGUUAUUAUUGGGUCUAAAGGGUCUGUAGCCGGCUGGAUAAGUCUCUUGGGAAAUCUGGCAGCUCAACUGUCAGGCUUUCAGGGGAUACUGUCCGGCUCGAGACCGGGAGAGGUGAGAGGUACCUCAGGGGUAGGGGUGAAAUCUUGUAAUCCUUGAGGGACCACCAGUGGCGAAGGCGUCUCACCAGAACGGAUCUGACGGCAAGGGACGAAAGCUAGGGGCACGAACCGG
This 382-nucleotide ribosomal RNA is filed under the name uncultured archaeon. RNAcentral's name for it is "bacterial SSU rRNA". It matches the Rfam family "Archaeal small subunit ribosomal RNA", at positions 345 to 727 of the family's 1478-position model. The record is from RNAcentral.